This 2197-nucleotide unclassified non-coding RNA is filed under the name Chelonus insularis. RNAcentral's name for it is "uncharacterized LOC118073112, transcript variant X1". Lineage: Eukaryota; Metazoa; Arthropoda; Insecta; Hymenoptera; Braconidae. The record is from RNAcentral.
UUCUGGACAUUUUUCCAUUGCUCCCUCUUUGGGAUGUCAAUAAAAAAAAUUACGCUAUUAUCAUCAGCUGAUUCAUGAUAUUUUUUUUUAUUGUAUCAUCAAACACUUGUUCAAGGACUAAUAAGGAUUAAUUAGGAGGCUAUGUUUGACAGUAUUGUUCAAGUCAUGCAAUGUAAUAAUUACUGAUGUUAAAAAUCUUUUCAAUCACUUUCCGGUUGACAUUGGCAAGGCUGUAGACAAACACUGAUUCAGUACUUCCAGAGAGUCGACUCCAGCACACACAGAAAAAUCAAAAAAGACAGUUCUGAAAUGACUUCUAAAGUGCUUGUGAAACUGCCAACAGUUCCAUUUUCUCAAGGAAAAAAAUCAGCUGAGUUGAUGACAUUAUCUGCAAGAAAUGAGGGUGUUUCGACUCCAGUACGUUCUCAACAGGGUAUUAAUGGAGAAAGGACAGCACAAUUGGAACAAAACAUCAAAUUUCUUCAAGAACAGCAUCAAGCAACGCUUCUUUCAUUACAUCAAGAAAUAGAAUCUCUUCGUCAACGAAAUAGAGAUUUACAAUUUCAACUGGUGUUUAAUAAAGGAACUAUUUCUGCAACUAGUAGCCCAUCAUCUCCAGAAGAUAAUUCGAAUGGGUUCAUCAAACCUAAGGGAAGCCCAGUUUGUGUCAAUGUUACUCCUCUACAGAUCGAACUCCUGGAACGUGAUCUAGAAGAACUGAAAGUUUCUUUCAAUGAAGCAAAAAAGCAAAAUUUUCAACUUCAAGAAGUCAUUGAAAAUCAAAAGAUAAAGUUAGAACAGGCAGAGAAAGAGAAAGAGAAACUCCCAUCGACUGAGGCUGGAAUUCAAGUGGGAGAAGCAUCAGAAGCAGUACAAAACGAUUUAGCAGCACGAUUGGAGGAUGCAGAGGCAUUAGUAAAAAGAUUGCAACGCGAAAAUGCAGACCAGCAACGAGAAAUAGCGUCAAUGAAAGCAUCAUCAGCUAAAAAUGGAAAUCGUAAUGGACAUGGUCGAGGUCGAGGGAAUGAAAAUGGCCAUCAUAGCAGAGGAUCAUCAGGAGAUCCUGGACAAUCAAAUAGAAAUUCUUAUAAAUUUCCACCAUUAGAGAAUGAGAAUUAUUGGAGGAAUGUUACUCGAGGCCGUUCAAGUUACGAGCGUCAGUCGGGUCCACAUCGACGAAAUCAUCCGGAAAAAGAAGACAGUGAACCAACUGAUAUGCCCUGCAGAAUUGUCUUACCUGAGUUAUUGAAUAGCAAUGUAAAGCCAGACCUUCCUUGCUAUCCUCCAUUUUAUCGUUCACAGAGAGGAUAUCAUAGUGGUGGAAACUACUAUAGAGAUGGUGGAAAUCGAAAAUUUAGAGGUCAAGGACGUCCAAGAGAUCGUCGAGAUCAAGAUCAUCGUGGCGAUUAUCGAGAUCGAAAUUCGCGAGAACAGUAAUGAGACUUUAACGAUGGCGCACAUACGUCGAGAAAUCAGUAACAAAUUUCAUUAUUAAAUUAUACACGUUACCUCUGCAUUGGAAAAUCAAGUAAAUAUUUAUUAUUCACUUUUAUGAGGAAAGUUUAAUAGGUAUGUUCAUAUAUUAUAAAAGAUUGAAUAUUCUACACUCGGGGAAAAUAUUUUAUAAAAAGUAAUAUAUAUUAUUUGAAAAAGAGAUUAAUUUUUGAAUAUUUAGUAUAUAUUUUUUCAUUUCAUUUAUUCCAGUUGAGUUUAGCUGUACCACAAAUAUAUUUUAUGUAAAUUUGGAUUAAUACUUUGAAAAAUGAAUAUCUUUAUUAUAAGUUCACUUUUUAUAAAAGUAAAUAAUGUUAUUUUAUUUAUUUUAAAUAUAUUAUUCUUUUCUCUUAUGUGAAAGAUCAAGUUUCACAUCAUAUGUAGCUGGAUAAUAGCCGUAUGAUCUGGCAUUAUGAUAAAAAAUGUAGCGAGAUAUAAUGAAUCAAUACAAAAAUACAAAUUAUAAAUUAUAGAGGAAUAUUUACAAUCGUAUUAGAAUCUCCAUCAUACUCUAAAUUUAAUUCAAUAUUAACCCGUAUUAAAUACGAAUUUAAUAAAAAAAUUAAAUACAAAAAAUAAUGGAAUUAUGUAAGACUUAAUAACAACUUAGGAAAGUCAACAUUUCCAGAAAUUAAUUAUUCCAAACUUUAUAGAAAAAAAAAAACAUCGUAAACAUUUAUAUUCCUCCAAGAAAUUACAUAAA